CUCAAGACUAAGCCAUGCAUGUGCAAGUAUGAACGCUUGAACCGUGAGACUGCGAAUGGCUCAUUAAAUCAGUUAUAGUUUAUUUGAUGGUGUACCCGCUACGUGGAUAACCGUGGUAAUUCUAGAGCUAAUACAUGCAAAAGGUCCCGACUCUCUCGGGGAGGGACGUAUUUAUUAGAUCCAAAACCAGCCCGGUCGCGGCUCCGGUCCGGCCGGUGUUUCCUGGUGAUUCAUGGUAACUGUUCGAAUCGCACGGCCUCGGCGCCGGCGAUGGUUCAUUCAAGUUUCUGCCCUAUCAACUUUCGAUGGUAGCGUAUUGGGCUACCAUGGUCUUUACGGGUGACGGAGAAUUAGGGUUCGAUUCCGGAGAGGGAGCCUGAGAAACGGCUACCACAUCCAAGGAAGGCAGCAGGCGCGCAAAUUACCCAAUCCCGACUCGGGGAGGUAGUGACGAUAAAUAACAAUGCCGGUCCCAUCGAGGUCCGGCAAUUGGAAUGAGUACAAUCCAAACCCCUUAACGAGGAACAAUUGGAGGGCAAGUCUGGUGCCAGCAGCCGCGGUAAUUCCAGCUCCAAUAGCGUAUACUAUAUCUGCUGUCGUUAGCACGCUCGUAGUUGGAUUUCGGGGCCCGUUCGUCGGUGCGGCGUUCGUGUGGUUCGUCCUCGCGGCGUUCUGCGCGUUCCCGUGUCGGCGUCGCUCGGCCGGUUCGGUCCGCCGAGAGGCGAGCACUGUCCGGCGGCUCCCAGUGUCUCUCGGAGGUCCCGUCUGCACUUUACUGUUGCGGUCGGGGAGUUCGGGACGUUUACUUUGAACAAAUUAGAGUGUUCCAAGCAGGCCGGUCGCUUUGAAUACGUUAGCAUGGAAUAAUGGAAUAGGGCUGUUCUCGUCCUAUUUUGUUGGUUUUCGGGACGGCAGUCAUGGUCGAUAGGAACAGUUGGGGGCAUUCGUAUUCAGUUGUCAGAGGUGAAAUUCUCGGAUUUGCGGAAGACGAACUACUGCGAAAGCAUUUGCCAAGGAUGUUUUCAUUAAUCAAGAACGAAAGUUGGG
Molecule: ribosomal RNA, 1047 nt
Filed under: Haliclona cinerea
Lineage: Eukaryota; Metazoa; Porifera; Demospongiae; Haplosclerida; Chalinidae
Description: SSU rRNA
Rfam family: Eukaryotic small subunit ribosomal RNA
Source: RNAcentral